RNAcentral lists this ribosomal RNA (497 nucleotides) under uncultured bacterium. RNAcentral describes it as "partial 16S ribosomal RNA". It matches the Rfam family "Bacterial small subunit ribosomal RNA", at positions 28 to 507 of the family's 1533-position model. The record is from RNAcentral.
GAUGAACGCUGGCGGCGUGCCUAAUACAUGCAAGUCGAGCGAACAGAUGAGGAGCUUGCUCCUCUGACGUUAGCGGCGGACGGGUGAGUAACACGUGGAUAACCUACCUAUAAGACUGGGAUAACUUCGGGAAACCGGAGCUAAUACCGGAUAAUAUAUUGAACCGCAUGGUUCAAUAGUUAAAGACGGUUUUGCUGUCACUUAUAGAUGGAUCCGCGCCGCAUUAGCUAGUUGGUAAGGUAACUGCUUACCAAGGCAACGAUGCGUAGCCGACCUGAGAGGGUGAUCGGCCACACUGGAACUGAGACACGGUCCAGACUCCUACGGGAGGCAGCAGUAGGGAAUCUUCCGCAAUGGGCGAAAGCCUGACGGAGCAACGCCGCGUGAGUGAUGAAGGUCUUCGGAUCGUAAAACUCUGUUAUUAGGGAAGAACAAAUGUGUAAGUAACUAUGCACGUCUUGACGGUACCUAAUCAGAAAGCCACGGCUAACUACGUG